Molecule: long non-coding RNA, 516 nt
Organism: Drosophila miranda
Lineage: Eukaryota; Metazoa; Arthropoda; Insecta; Diptera; Drosophilidae
Exons: 2
Source: RefSeq, a predicted model, not a curated record
CCGGCAUUUGGCAGAUGGCGCCACUGUUCACACAGCUGGGCGCAUUUUUUAGCACAUUUUGUUCGCGCGUGUGUGCUUUAGUGUUAGUGUGGUGUGUGUGUGUGUUAGCUUCUGGCUAAAUAAAUUCAUUUUUUUUACUGUGACACAAAAUAAAACCCAAAACGUUUACGCGAAUAACUAUUAUAGAGUGGUAUUACCGACUAAGCGGCUAAUCUCGUUGGCCCCCAUCUGGUACGAACCGCCGCGCCCCUAGCCAGUCCCAGUGCGUGCCCUCCCGACCCAGCGCAGCGGCAAUUCGGCUGCUUGACGCAAAAGUUGCAAAAGCAAAGGCAAAAGCAAACGAAAACUUAACCUCGCAAAAAAAGAAAACCCAAGCGAAGGAAAGACACCGAAACGAAAAGGCAGAAAAAGCACAAAACGCAAACAGCACAAACGCAAACGCAAUUGGGGAAAAAAAUAGGACCAACAACAAUCGCAAAAGCAAUGCAAAUUGGACAAAAAAAAACUGCCGCUAAA